GUACACGCUGUGACUAGCAUAUCAAUAAGCGGAGGAAAAAGAAACUAACAAGGAUUCCCCUAGUAACGGCGAGUGAAGCGGGAAGAGCUCAAAUUUGAAAUCUUAAAGGGUUUCCCUUUACGAAUUGUAGUUUAAAGAAGUGUUUUCUGUUGAGGUUUUGGUAAAAGUUCUUUGGAAUAGGACAUCAUAGAGGGUGAGAAUCCCGUAUUUGACCUUUACUUUCAACUUUGUGAUACACUUUCAAAGAGUCGGAUUGUUUGGGAAUGCAGUCCAAAAUGGGUGGUAAAUUUCAUCCAAAGCUAAAUAUUGGCGAGAGACCGAUAGCGAACAAGUACCGUGAGGGAAAGAUGAAAAGAACUUUGAAAAGAGAGUUAAACAGUACGUGAAAUUGUCAAAAGGGAAGCGUUUGACACCAGUGUUGUUUUUUCUGAAAAUCAAUUAAAGAACUGUUUAUGCUAAGUUGUUUAGACUUUAUCAGCUAUCUGUUUAGUUUUGAGCUUUUCUUUAAUGCACUUUUCAGUUAACAAGUCAACAUCGAAUUUCUUUUGCUGUAAAAAAGCUUGAGGAAGGUGGCUUGAGAUUCGUCUUAAGUGUUUAUAGCCUCUUGCCUAUGCAGUCGGAGAGAUUGAGGUCUGCAGCGUAGAUCCUUCGGGGCUAAAUGCAUUUGUGCUAAGUUAUAGCAUUUUAUAGACAACUUGUUGACUAUGAUUUGUCUUGUAGCUUACUCGCUUAUGUUAUUUUACCUACGCUUAGGAUGUUGAGUCGUAGAGCACGCAG
This 777-nucleotide ribosomal RNA is filed under the name uncultured Neocallimastigales. RNAcentral's name for it is "partial large subunit ribosomal RNA". It matches the Rfam family "Eukaryotic large subunit ribosomal RNA", at positions 22 to 628 of the family's 3401-position model. Lineage: Eukaryota; Fungi; Neocallimastigomycota; Neocallimastigomycetes; Neocallimastigales. The record is from RNAcentral.